AGCGAACGUUUGCGGCGGGCCUAACACAUGCAAGUCGAACGCACUAGCAAUAGUGAGUGGCGCACGGGUGCGUAACACGUGGGUAAUCAACCCUUCAGCUUGGGAUAACGACUUGAAAGGGUCGCUAAUACCGGAUACGGCGAGAGAGGCUUCGGCAUUUCUCGAGAAAGCCUCGCAAGGGGCACUGAAGGACGAGCCUGCGGCCCAUCAGCUAGUUGGUGAGGUAAGAGCUCACCAAGGCGAAGACGGGUAGCUGGUCUGAGAGGAUGAUCAGCCACACUGGAACUGAGACACGGUCCAGACUCCUACGGGAGGCAGCAGUGGGGAAUAUUGCGCAAUGGGCGAAAGCCCGACGCAGCCACGCUGCGUGAGCGAUGAAGGCCUUCGGGUCGUAAACCUCUUUCAGCAGGGACGAAGCGAAAGUGACGGUACCU
This 434-nucleotide ribosomal RNA is filed under the name uncultured bacterium. RNAcentral describes it as "bacterial SSU rRNA". It matches the Rfam family "Bacterial small subunit ribosomal RNA", at positions 29 to 480 of the family's 1533-position model. The record is from RNAcentral.